GUCAAAUUUGUCAUUGGGUGCAUAUUAAUUCCUCUGGCUUCCAGGUUCCUUGCAACCACUGCUCUCAUUUCAUCAUCGAAACCUCUUAGUGGAAGUUCCCUUCUAAAACAUAGGUCAACUUUAGCACCCAUACCAUUCCAGAUCGAAGCGAACUCAACAGCAAUGUACCCUCCUCCAAGCACCACGACACGCUUAGGCAACUCCUCUAAACUCAAAGCCUCAUCAGAUGUUAUCCCCCACUCCUUCCCGGGAAUAUCAGGAAUGACAGCUCUACUGCCAGUUGCAAUCAGUAUGUGCUUUGCUGAGUAGCAUAUUUUGGUACCAUCAAGUUGUGUCACCUCAACUUCAUGUGGACCAACAAUCUUUCCCUCUCCUUCAUACAUUUUUACUCCCGCAUUACUCAGUAAACGCUUGUAAAUCCCAUUUAAUCGGACUAUCUCAUCUGUCUUCUUUCGUAAAAGUUUCUUCCAAUCAAAAUCUACUUUCUCAUUCACAUCCCAACCAAAACUUCGAGCAUCCUGAAGCUCAGAACCAAAUGUUGCCCCAUACACUAGAAUCUUUUUGGGAACGCAGCCACGAAUGACACACGUUCCACCAAUUCCUCCAACUACUUCUGAG
This 618-nucleotide unclassified non-coding RNA is filed under the name Hevea brasiliensis (rubber tree). Lineage: Eukaryota; Viridiplantae; Streptophyta; Magnoliopsida; Malpighiales; Euphorbiaceae. The record is from RNAcentral.